CUACUACAAAUCACCACCACCUCCUUCGCCAUCUCCUCCACCACCAUAUUACUACAAGUCCCCACCUCCACCAAGUCCAUCCCCUCCACCUCCAUACCAUUACUCAUCACCUCCACCACCUGUGAAAUCCCCACCACCUCCAUAUCAUUAUUCCUCACCCCCACCACCUGUCAAAUCCCCGCCACCUCCAUAUCAUUAUUCGUCACCCCCACCACCAGUGAAAUCCCCGCCACCUCCAUAUCAUUAUUCGUCACCCCCACCACCAGUGAAAUCCCCGCCACCUCCAUAUCAUUAUUCGUCACCCCCACCACCAGUGAAAUCCCCGCCACCACCAUAUCAUUAUUCAUCACCACCACCCCCCGUCAAAUCCCCACCACCUCCUUACCAUUACUCUUCACCACCACCACCAGUAAAAUCUCCACCACCUCCAUAUCAUUAUUCAUCACCUCCACCACCAGUGAAAUCCCCACCACCUCCAUACCACUAUACGUCACCACCACCUCCAGUAAAAUCACCACCACCCCCAUAUCAUUAUUCAUCACCUCCACCACCCGUGAAGUCCCCACCACCACCAUACCACUAUUCUUCACCACCACCACCAGUAAAAUCCCCACCUCCUCCAUACCAUUACUCAUCACCUCCCCCACCUGUGAAAUCACCACCCCCUCCAUACCACUACUCUUCACCACCACCACCAGUCAAAUCCCCACCUCCUCCAUACCACUACUCUUCACCUCCACCACCGGUGAAAUCUCCACCUCCCCCAUACCACUACUCAUCUCCACCACCGCCAGUGAAAUCACCUCCACCACCGUACCACUACUCAUCUCCACCACCUCCCGUGAAAUCCCCACCUCCACCGUACCACUACUCAUCACCUCCACCACCCGUAAAAUCACCACCUCCUCCAUACCACUACUCAUCACCACCACCGCCAGUGAAGUCACCUCCUCCCCCAUACCACUACUCAUCACCACCACCACCAGAAAAAUCACCACCCCCACCAUACCACUACUCAUCUCCCCCACCCCCAGAGAAAUCUCCGCCCCCACCUUACCAUUACUCAUCCCCUCCACCACCCGUAAAAUCCCCAC
This 1094-nucleotide long non-coding RNA is filed under the name Daucus carota (carrot). RNAcentral's name for it is "long non-coding RNA (DCAR_LNC004777)". Lineage: Eukaryota; Viridiplantae; Streptophyta; Magnoliopsida; Apiales; Apiaceae. The record is from RNAcentral.